This 1317-nucleotide long non-coding RNA is filed under the name Corvus moneduloides (New Caledonian crow). RNAcentral's name for it is "lncRNA (ENSCMUG00000017824.1)". The record is from RNAcentral. Lineage: Eukaryota; Metazoa; Chordata; Aves; Passeriformes; Corvidae.
AUGCGCUGUGCCAACCAGGACAGACCUGGACUGGACCACACCAAGCUCCCACUCCAUGCCCUGCUGUGCCACCCCCAGGCAUUGCCAUGUGGGGCUGUACCAUGCCAGGCAGACUGUGCCAGCUCCAGGCCAUCCUGUGUGUGCCAGAGCUGUUACGCUGGGCUGUGUCAAGCCAGAAAGGCUGUGCCAGGCCUGGGCUGUCCCAUGCUGUGCCGUGCAGGCCCCGUGCCAUGCUGUGCCGUGCUAUGCUGUGCCAUGAUGUGGCAGACUCUGCAGUGCUGGGAUGUGCUGAGCCAGGCAGACUGUACCAGCCCUUUGCCAGCCCUAGGAUGUGCUAUACUGUGCUAUGCCAUGCCAGAAUGUGCCAUACUGGGCUGCACUGAGCCAGGCAGACUGUGCCAAGCCCAGAAUGUUCCGUGCCCUGUCAGCCCCACACCUUGCCAUGCCACACCAGUCCUGUCCCAUACCAGCCCCAUGCUGUAUGCUGUGCCAGCCCCAUGUUGUGCCAGCCCUAUGCCAUUUCAGCCCCAUGCCAUGCCAGCCUCGUGCUGUUCCCAUGCUGUGCUGUGUCAUUCCAGCCCUGUGCCAUGUGGGUCUCAUGCCAUGCUGUGCCAUCACCAGGCCAUGCCAGCUCCACGCUGUGUCAUGCCUUCAUGCUGUGCCGUGCAAACCACACGCCGUGAUGUGUCAGCCCCAUGCCAUGCUAGACUCAUGCCAAGCUGUGCCAGCCCCAUGCCAUGCCAUGCCAUGCCAUGCCAUUUCUGUGCCAUGCCAGCCCCAUGCUGUGUUGUGUCAGCCCUGUGCCUUGCCAGCCCCAUGCCGUGCCGUGCUGUGCCGUGCCAGCCCCAUGCCAUGUCAGCCCCAUGCCGUGCCGUGCCGUGCCGUGCCGCGCCAGCCCCAUGCUAUGCCAGCCCCAUGCCAUGCCAUGCCAUGCCAUGCCAUGCCAUGCCAUUUCUGUGCUGUGCCAGCCCCGUGCCGUGCCAGCCCCAUGCUGUGCUGUGCUGCACUGUUCCAGCACUGUGCCAUGUGGGUCCCAUGCUAUGCCGUGCCAGCCCCAUGCUAUGCCAGCCCCGUGCCAUGCCAGCCCCAUGCUGUGUUGUGCCAGCCCUGUGCCGUGCCAGCCCCAUGCCGUGCCAGCCCCAUGCCGUGCCGUGCUGUGCCGUGCCAGCCCCAUGCCAUGUCAGCCCCAUGCCAUGUCAGCCCCGUGCCGUGCCGUGCUGUGCCGUGCUGUGCCGUGCCAGCCCCAUGCUCUGCCAGCCCCAUGCCAUGUCAGCCCCAUGCCAUGCCGUGCCGUGCCAGCCCCGGGCUCGGUGCUGA